This is a long non-coding RNA of Diospyros lotus (date-plum), 275 nucleotides long. RefSeq lists it as uncharacterized. Lineage: Eukaryota; Viridiplantae; Streptophyta; Magnoliopsida; Ericales; Ebenaceae. The transcript is spliced from 2 exons. The record is from RefSeq and is a predicted model, not a curated record.
UGAAUUUAUAAUAUUGGCAAGUGAUGAUGUAUGGAAGGAGGAGUAUGAGAUUUCACGAUCUUCUGAGAAAGUUGGUGAGACACUAAAGCUCGUGCUUAAACACGCUUUGAGUUCCAUUAUGCAUCCCCCCUUCUCUCUCUCUCUUUGUCAGAGCAAUUAUUUUUUAUGUUGUUUUCCGCUACAGAAAAUAGUGGGAUUCUUCUCUAGAGGUGUACGUCAACAUCAACACUCUCAAUUAUACUACUAGUGAUCGUUUACCUUUUAUUCCCCUUGUA